AUGGGGCAGCGAAAAAUCCUGCAACAUAUAGCAUUAGCCAUGGCAAUGAUCUUGAUCCCGUCCAUGGUGUCGUGGAAGAUGAGGACGGCGAAGAGGGGCACGAUGGGCAGCGAGACGGUGCUUAUGACGUUGGAGAAGAGCGAGGAGACCUCGAAGACGAGCCCCACCACCCCGACGGAGGUGAUCUGCCAGGACACGGCCGUCCACACCAGCGUCAUGAAGUAG
This 225-nucleotide ribosomal RNA is filed under the name Triticum aestivum (bread wheat). RNAcentral's name for it is "partial small subunit ribosomal RNA". The record is from RNAcentral. Lineage: Eukaryota; Viridiplantae; Streptophyta; Magnoliopsida; Poales; Poaceae.